UAUGGGAGAGAAACAAUCAACUGAUCACAAUUAAUUCGUUGAUUUAGAAACAGUUAAUUUGUUGAUGACCUUAAGGUUGACACAAUUAGAGAAAACAACUAAAUUAACAAGUUAAAUUGGCGAAAGAAAAUAACCACAAUUAAAUUAGAUUUGUCAGAAGAAGAAAAUGAUUAAUCAAAUUUUUCUUUUUUUCCCCCAAAAGAGAGAGAGAAAAAAAGAAAGAGUUUUUUUGUUCUCUUUCGCUUUUUAGAAAAGAAUUUAAAAAACCUCAAUCUCUUCUCCAAAUCUCCAAUAUCUUCAUUUUGUGUUCUGGUUCAUUCGUUGACUACUACAGGUAAUGAUGUAUUUAUGUGUUGCUGGCGAAAAUGUUCAUCUACUACUGUUAUUUAGGAAAAAGGAAACAUUAUCCUUUCACCUUAACCUCAUCUCCCUUUUUCUCUCUCUCUCUCAAAGGGUAAGCCAUCUUUGGAUUAGUUGACAGAAACAACAAUAACCCAACCAACCAAAGUAAAAAGAUUAACAUUAUUAAUUGAUGUUGAUGGAAAUACCUCUAAUUGUUGGUGAUAUACACAUGAGGCUUUUGUUAUAUUCUUCAAGUAAUUUACUCUCAUAGUUACAUUACCUGGUUAAUUAAAACGAAUCAAAAGUGAUUUUUUUUGUUCUUCAGCCUUUGGAUUUACCUUUUCUACCCUCAUCUUUUAACCUCAAUCUCCAUAGAAACUGGUAUUGAAUCAAUGUGAUGAUUUGUUUCAAUUCUUGCCUUGUGAAAAAUUCUGUGAAUGCUGAUGCCUAUUUUCAUCCCUUUUGUGGUGUUGCUAUUUUAUUCAAUGCACUGAAUAGAAUAUCAAUUACUAAUUGCUUUAAUUGUAACAUUGUUCAGUCAACUCUUUCACUCUUUCUGGUUAGUAUCAUUUAGAAAUAGAAAUUAUAUAAAAAAAAAUAUCUCCAAGGUUGAAACUAUUCUUGCUGUUGGAUUAAUGUUAAGCUUAUCUCAUUAAAAGAAGGAUUAGUUUGGACCAAUUAGAGGUAAAGAUUUUCUCUCUCGCUUCGCCAUCAACUGAUUGAUUAAUCUCUUUCCUCUCUGAGUCUAUUAUUCACUAAGAGAGAGAGGAAGAGAUAGUGAUGAUAACAAUUCCAAAUUUUCAUCUCCAUUCUGGGAUUCCGAUUCCACAGUCCCAGUGAGAUAUUGAUUCAAUGUAACCAAUUCUCUGUCUCUCUUCAAAUCAAAUUGUUCCUCGAAUUGAUCACAUUCUAAUUUGCUGUUGAUCAAUGGAUUUUCUCUUGUAUCUCUUUACAAUUUCAUCGUUAUAAUUUUUUCCUUCUUUUACUCUCCAAUGAUUAUUUCUUCCAAAAGAAUCACUUGUUAAAGACAUUCGAUGAUAUUAACGAUCAGUUUUCUCUGAUGAACUUGUUGCUGUUUAUAACUGAUCAGCUUGUUAGUGAUCUUCUAAUCAUCCAUAUGAUUGCUGUUUGUAUUUCAUCGUUUCUUUUUAUAUCUACCUGUUAUUUUCUAUAUAUUACAUCCACUUUCUACCUCCUUAAGCUAAUAUUCCUAAUAACUUGGAUUCUAAGAGUGAUAACUUACAGUUAACUUGGUAAUUCUAUUGGGGAUAUCUUUUAGUCUUUCCAUCACAUCGUCUCCACUGUCAAUACACCUAAUCAACAAUUUAACAACAAUUGGUUACACUAAAUUAACAUGGUAUCGAUGGAGACACUCGAAGGGUGGACAGGAAGGUAAACAGAUGUUAUAUGUUGGUAGGAGAUGGACCAAGAGGACAUGAUGACGAUGGUAAUGUUCAUGGAUAAAGAGAAAAAAACUAAAAGAGAGAGAGAGAAAGAAAGAGAAGAUGUAAAUGCAAAGAAGGUGGGCUAACGAGCUGCUCAGCUAGAAGUUUAUCAUCCAUACCAUAGAAAUCAUGAGGCAAUAGAAUUUAGUUGGUAAUUGUGAUACAAGACAAGAAAUUAAUUGGAAGAUGAGAGAGUCAAGUACCAUUGAAAAGUCUAUGAAUGUUCUGGUUCAUUGGAAAUGUAAGAAUUCGUGAUGAAAUUCAAUGUAUAGGUAAAAAUUCAUUAUUGUCAUCAGAGACGAGCUCCUGUUACCAUGAUGUGCGAUAGAAUCAACAAGGAAAAAGUUUUAAAAGCGAUCAUCUACUAUACACAGAGAGAGAAAUUAAUUAUCAAAAUCUAUGGAAUAUUUGACAAAAGAUGAAAUCAUGUAAAGUUCUGUCUAAUGUUACCAAUUCUCAGGCUGCUCUAACCACUUGAACCAACUAUUUAUUAUAUGAAUGAAUGUCUUUUGGUUUGACGAAAAUAUAACAACAAAAGUGAAAUGUUGACCAACUUGGAAAAUAUGAGAACCAUUCGUAUCAAUGUUGUUUGUUUUCUCCUUGGAUGGUUUGAUGUUUGAAGGCCAUUAAUGUUUCGUUUCUGCUUUUUUACUUCCUCUUCCACCUUCUCCUUCAUAAUCUUUUCUCUCUCUCUUCUUUGUCAUACAUUAUCCAAAAUCCUUUUAAAGUAUGCAAUCAUCAACUUCUAUCUUUCGCCCAUCCUGAAACGUCACUGUCGUUGAAGUGUCUGAUCCACUUUCAUCUAAAUGUUAUCCUAUUCUAUCAUCUUCUUUUCAUCUUUCUCUUCAUCUCUAAAUCUUCAUCUUCUUUCUUUUUCUCUUGAUUCUUUCACAUUUUCAAAGCUUUUUACCAAUUGUGUCCAUCGAAUCAAUGAUUUCCGGUUUAAUGAUCAACCUUUCCAUUUCUCCCUCUUGUCAUUUCCCAUUUAAGAGCUUCCAUCUUAAGAACUUUUUGUUAUCACUCAAAUAACUGACCAGAGAGAAAGAUAUACAAACUGACCAAUCACUCUUGAUAAUCAUAACAUAAUAAUCAUGGAAACAGCAAUAAUAAUAACAACAAAAAUAUGAAUUAUAUUUAUAUAUAAAUGUAUUUAAAUGUAAUACAUGAUAUAAAUAUCGUAUAAUCAACCUUGUUUUUUACUCAAUAUACUAAAUUCAUUGAGACAUUCAACUAAUCAGAUAUAACAAUUGAGUAACUUAUACUUUUCCAUCUGAUGAUCUCUUGUUAUGUUUAAAUCCAAUAAUUUAUUAUUAUCAAUGAUAAUUGUAUCCUCAUCAUAUCCCAUUUAUUAUCCUUAUCCAAGUCUAAUCUUAAUGCUCACUAAAUUAUCACAAUCUUACAAUUACAAUUACAAUUACAGUUACAUGUAUAUUAACCAGGGCGAAUGAUUGAAUAAUCUUAUUAAUAACCUUUUCCUUUUCCGUUCUGCAGGUUAACCUCAACCUAUUGGUAUCAUGUUCACCAAUCAUUAAUUGGAAUUGUUUUCUUGCCAAUAAGGUGAAAGGAAUUAAAGUUUCACAAUUAAAUGUCUCAUAUGAGCCCAUCAGGAAAAAACAACAACAAUUAAAGAGCCAGAAUUGUGGAGGAAUCGGAAAUAAUUGGCUUCUUGGUUACAAUCAACUGAUACUGGUGAUUAAAGUUAAUAUAUUUGAAUCUCUUGAUGAUCAAUAUUGAUAGUUGAACAAUUAACUGUUACAAUCAACUUGGAUGUACAUGUAUUACCAUAGAUGACGAAAUGAUUUGAUUGGGAUCAAUUAACUGACUGUAGUUGGAUUGAAUAGUUUACCAUUUAUAAUGAUGAUUAUGAUUGAUGGUAAUCAACGAUUCAUUUGAUUAAUUUAACUAAUAACGUUAAAGAAAUGGAUUCAUGUUCGCCCUGAUUAAUAUAUUAUUCAACAUCAUCUUUUGAUAACCAUGAUUAAAAUUCCAAUGUUUGAAUCAAUGGAGAAACAUGUGAGAUUUAAAGGUGAUCAAGCAAGAAAAAACAGAGAAACAAUUAGAUCUAAUUGUUGAUUGUUUACUGAUUAAUUCAAUAACAUGGAAGAUGAUUAAUUAUCAAGAAGGAAAAAGUUGAAGGUCUCAUUGGAAUGACAAUUAACACCUACUACCACCCAAAGAAUUGCGAUGAAAAUUUUAUAAUCGAUGAUGAUGAUUAUCUUAACUGUUAAUAAUAAUAUCGUUAACUGGAUUAAUUGAAUGGCUUGAAUCAUGGAAACUAAUGGAACAGGCAAACGGAAUUAAUUUACAUGAUAAUGGGAAAAAAGUUCUGAUGACAGAAUGAUGAUGAAAAAAACGAUGAGCA
Molecule: long non-coding RNA, 4149 nt
Organism: Panonychus citri (citrus red mite)
Lineage: Eukaryota; Metazoa; Arthropoda; Arachnida; Trombidiformes; Tetranychidae
Exons: 10
Source: RefSeq, a predicted model, not a curated record